GUGCUCACUUUGGCAGCCCAUAUACUAAAACUGGAGCAAUACGGAGAAGAUUAGCAUGGCCCCUGCGUAAGGAUGACACACAAAUUCAUGAAGGUUCCAUAUUUUU
This is a small nuclear RNA of Ailuropoda melanoleuca (giant panda), 106 nucleotides long. The record is from Ensembl. NCBI's taxonomy places the organism in Eukaryota, Metazoa, Chordata, Mammalia, Carnivora, Ursidae.